This 253-nucleotide ribosomal RNA is filed under the name uncultured bacterium. RNAcentral's name for it is "partial 16S ribosomal RNA". It matches the Rfam family "Bacterial small subunit ribosomal RNA", at positions 524 to 776 of the family's 1533-position model. The record is from RNAcentral.
UACGUAGGUGGCAAGCGUUACUCGGAAUCACUAGGCGUAAAGCGCAGGUAGGCGGUUUGGUAAGUCUGUUGUGAAAGCUCCCGGCUCAACUGGGAGAGGUCAACGGAAACUACCAGGCUGGAGUGUGGUAGAGGUAGCUGGAAUUCCCGGUGUAGCUGUGAAAUGCGUAGAUAUCGGGAGGAAUACCUAUGGCGAAAGCAGGCUACUGGACCAUCACUGACGCUGAUCUGCGAAAGCUAGGGGUGCAAUCAUG